This 697-nucleotide long non-coding RNA is filed under the name Gopherus agassizii (Agassiz's desert tortoise). Its description in RNAcentral is "lncRNA (ENSGAGG00000006983.1)". The record is from RNAcentral. Lineage: Eukaryota; Metazoa; Chordata; Testudines; Testudinidae.
AGCCACACCAGUCACCAGUGUCUAACCGGCCUAUGGCACUUGGCAUAAGACUUCUUGCCAGUCCUUUCCUGGGACUUCUUCCCUGACACUACCCCUAGCUUAGUUGGUAUCCAUAGUGCCUUCCUGUUCCUCGGAUGCUCUAGCGAACAAGGAGGAACAUGGAUUUUAAAGCAUCUGAAGGUGCUGAAGUUCAAAGCCUGUUUUCUCAGCUCAAAUUCUGGUCCGUGGUUAUGCAACAUUUCCCAGCGAGUAGCUUUCCUGCAGCGUGCUGUGUCCUUCCAGCACCAGCCCAGGGUGAACGUUUCCCUUCAAAGCAGAGCAUUUGGGCACAGAUGAAGAUGAAAGUGCAGAAAGCUCCACAGAGAGAGUAGAAGAGACGACGAGUUUUCAAUAAAUGCUCCUGCCCCAGAAAAGUGGAACUAAUGGCGUUUGCGACAUAAAGCAGGUGCUCUGCCCGCUAGGAGCGCACGACAGCACCUCCAGGAUUAGCUGCAGCAAGGCUCCUCUGCUGCCAGGGAGAAAAAUUACUGGGGAGGAGACUGGAGGGAUCUGCAGCAGCCCCUCGAAGAAGCUGGGAGAAGGGACAGGAUCUUGUCCUCACAUCCUCCACACAGGAUCCACGGCAUCUUCCACCGAGGCGUCUCCCAUGGGAAAACAGAACCUUCUGCUCUCUGACAUGACAUCUGCAGCAUGGUGA